GAGACCCUGUGACUGAGAACCCACAUCCUCUAGCCCCCUUGUCUUCGCUCCGCCUGUGUCUAAGGUCACUGGGCCUCUGAGCUCAGCACCUUCUUCCGGCAGUUCCUCUCCAGGGGGGCCCCACCCAGCUGUGGGGCCAGACCAGGUUCCUCCUCCUCUGCCCUGCCCUCCAGCCUCUCAGUCGCCAGCCAGGUCCCUUCCUCUCUGUCCUCAGCCCAGCUCAGGAGGCCUCUCCCGUGGGCCCUCGCCCUGGUGUCCUCAGCCUGCCACCCUCCAGCGACCUCACCACCAGGCUCCAGAGCCCUUCCUGCUCCUCUGGUCCUCCCAUCCCUCCUCCCCCCACUCCCAUUCUCCAGCUCGGUAAAGGUAUGGCCUCCUGAGGUCCCACGUGUGACACGCCAGGCUGUGGUCCCCGGGCCGAGGAGGCUUGCUCUGCAGCCGGCCGUGCUGUUCUUCCCUUACCCACACGCCUGCUUGGGCCUCACAGGCCGCUGCCUCUGUCCCGCACAGAUCAUCCUGGGCUGCGACAGAUGUACCACCUAUCACCCUCGUUUCCCGUGAGCUCCCUUUUCCUUUCCCGUGAGCUCCCUUCUUUUCCUUUCCCGUGAGCUCCUGCAGGUCAGGCCCAGGACCAACUCAUCCCUAACCCACAGACCCCACAGGGCACCCCAGAAAAAGAUGUCAAGUGAGUGCAGAGAGCCCCACUGACUCAGAUGCCGAAGUGUGUCCCGAAGGAGGUUUAUUACCCCCUCAAGACCACUCUUCCCCACACCCCCCAAUAAUUACAAAAGUAAGAAAAAUGCCCACGUCCCCCAAUC
RNAcentral lists this long non-coding RNA (818 nucleotides) under Homo sapiens (human). Its description in RNAcentral is "HSALNT0261233". The record is from RNAcentral. Lineage: Eukaryota; Metazoa; Chordata; Mammalia; Primates; Hominidae.